CGCGAACGGCUCAUUAUAACAGCUAUAAUUUACUUGAAUUUGACAACCCUACUUGGAUACCGGUGGUAAUUCUAGCGCUAAUACAUGCACCAAAGCUCCGACCGCGAGGGAAGAGCGCAUUUAUUAGAACAAAACCACACGGCUUCGGCCGUCCAAUGUUGACUCAGAAUAACUAAGCUGAUCGCAUGGUCUUGCACCGGCGACGUUUCUUUCAAGUAUCUGCCUUAUCAACUUUCGAUGGUAGUGUAUCUGACUACCAUGGUGAUGACGGGUAACGGAGGAUAAGGGUUCGACUCCGGAGAAGGGGCCUGAGAAAUGGCCACUACGUCUAAGGAUGGCAGCAGGCGCGCAAAUUACCCACUCUCAGUACGAGGAGGUAGUGACGAGAAAUAACAAGACCGUUCUCACAAGAGGCCGGUCGUUGGAAUGGGUACAAUUUAAACCCUUUAACGAGUAUCUAUGAGAGGGCAAGUCUGGUGCCAGCAGCCGCGGUAAUUCCAGCU
RNAcentral lists this ribosomal RNA (503 nucleotides) under Tylenchorhynchus teeni. RNAcentral describes it as "SSU rRNA". It matches the Rfam family "Eukaryotic small subunit ribosomal RNA", at positions 88 to 590 of the family's 1831-position model. The record is from RNAcentral. Lineage: Eukaryota; Metazoa; Nematoda; Chromadorea; Rhabditida; Telotylenchidae.